GGGCCUGCGGGGAUGGCUCAG
RNAcentral lists this unclassified non-coding RNA (21 nucleotides) under Mus musculus (house mouse). Its description in RNAcentral is "oocyte_clustered_small_RNA13581". Lineage: Eukaryota; Metazoa; Chordata; Mammalia; Rodentia; Muridae. The record is from RNAcentral.